Long non-coding RNA from Ictalurus punctatus (channel catfish), 715 nucleotides. The record is from Ensembl. Lineage: Eukaryota; Metazoa; Chordata; Actinopteri; Siluriformes; Ictaluridae.
AGAUGUCUAAAUAUUCAUUGUUUACACCUCAUUCUCCACCUCCUCUCUUUCUCUCACUGUAUUUUUAUCCUGUCUCACUCUGUCAGUGUUCAGAAAUGACCCGAGGUGAUGACAUGACGUCUGAUGAGAGCCUGGCCGAGUCCGUCAGCUCGCAGCACUUUAAAGGCUCCAUGCGCACUCUGGACAGUGGGAUUGGGACGUUCCCACUUCCUGACUAUGCCAGCAAUGCUGUCGGAAAACUAAACCCUAAACUCCAAAGCUCGUCUGUUUCUCACAAAGCGGCGAUGAAACCUCGAAAAACACGAACCUUAGAAGGAGGACUAGCAUCUUUAGAUGAAGUGAACACUUCUGUACUCUACACUUCUCCACUAGAGGCCAAGGGAACAAGUGUGCAUCUGUCCAGCACCAUCCACGAAGACAUUGAUGUCUAUGGAGCUCAUUUUCAAGCCCCGCCCACUGCAAACUGGGCAUUUCCCAAACCAAGAGUAUCAGAAGCACAGACGGAACCACCAAGCCAGCAAACUCCAUCAAAGCGGGUGAGAAGAGUGAAAACACACUCAAACACUCCACUGUCUCCAGCUCAAACACUCCACUGUCUCCAGGUCAAACACACAAACACUCAAACACUCCACUGUCUCCAGGUCAAACACACAAACACUCAAACACUCCACUGUCUCCAGGUCAAACACACAAACACUCAAACACUCCACUGUCU